Molecule: ribosomal RNA, 429 nt
Filed under: Triticum aestivum (bread wheat)
Lineage: Eukaryota; Viridiplantae; Streptophyta; Magnoliopsida; Poales; Poaceae
Description: partial small subunit ribosomal RNA
Source: RNAcentral
AUGCAACCCUACUGUUUGAAUGCCUUUGGCGCACGCUCUCACAUCAAACUACGGAGCAAGUACUAUGGGCCUUUCCAGGUCAUAGCCAAAGUUGGGCGCGUCGCUUACAAGCUCCUCCUACCUGACAACACGGGCAUCCACCCAGUAUUCCAUGUCAGCCAGUUGAAAAAACAUGUUGGACACUCGGCCGUUCCCUGUGUUGAUCUUCCUCUGGUUCGAGCAGAUGGGCUGAUACUUACUGAACCUGUUCUGGUAUUGGAGACUCGCCAGGUGCCACGCAACAAUCUGCCGGUGGUUCAAUGGCUAGUCCAAUGGGCAAACCUACCACCUGAUGAAGCAUCAUGGGAAGACGCAUCAUUCAUGAAGAAGACCUUCCCUGCAUUCUUCAAAGCAACCAUUGAUCGUUGCUUCAACAGAUCACCUUCUUGA